GCGAUCGUCGCCGAACGAGGACGCGGCCUCGGACUUGGAGCGUUCGAAGCCCUCGCGGGCCUCGGCAUCGUUCCAGGCGAUGCGCAUGCCC
RNAcentral lists this transfer RNA (91 nucleotides) under Paradevosia tibetensis. RNAcentral describes it as "Youhaiella tibetensis tRNA-Ser". Lineage: Bacteria; Pseudomonadati; Pseudomonadota; Alphaproteobacteria; Hyphomicrobiales; Devosiaceae. The record is from RNAcentral.